Molecule: ribosomal RNA, 468 nt
Filed under: uncultured bacterium
Lineage: Bacteria
Description: partial 16S ribosomal RNA
Rfam family: Bacterial small subunit ribosomal RNA
Source: RNAcentral
GACGAACGCUGGCGGCGUGCUUAACACAUGCAAGUCGAACGGAAAGGCCCUGCUUUUGUGGGGUGCUCGAGUGGCGAACGGGUGAGUAACACGUGAGUAACCUGCCCUUGACUUUGGGAUAACUUCAGGAAACUGGGGCUAAUACCGGAUAGGAGCUCCUGCUGCAUGGUGGGGGUUGGAAAGUUUCGGCGGUUGGGGAUGGACUCGCGGCUUAUCAGCUUGUUGGUGGGGUAGUGGCUUACCAAGGCUUUGACGGGUAGCCGGCCUGAGAGGGUGACCGGCCACAUUGGGACUGAGAUACGGACCAGGCUCCUACGGGAGGCAGCAGUGGGGAAUAUUGCACAAUGGGCGGAAGCCUGAUGCAGCAACGCCGCGUGCGGGAUGACGGCCUUCGGGUUGUAAACCGCUUUCGCCUGUGACGAAGCGUGAGUGACGGUAAUGGGUAAAGAAGCACCGGCUAACUACGUG